RNAcentral lists this ribosomal RNA (392 nucleotides) under uncultured bacterium. RNAcentral describes it as "bacterial SSU rRNA". It matches the Rfam family "Bacterial small subunit ribosomal RNA", at positions 28 to 421 of the family's 1533-position model. The record is from RNAcentral.
GAUGAACGCUAGCGGCAGGCCUAAUACAUGCAAGUCGAACGGUAAGGCCCUUUCGGGGGUACACGAGUGGCGGACGGGUGCGUAACGCGUAUGCAACAUGCCUUCCAGCGGGGGAUAUACCAGGGAAACUUGGCGCAAUACCCCAUAGAAUUACGGGACCGCAUGGUCUUGUGAUUAAAACUCCGGUGCUGGGAGAUUGGCAUGCGUGACAUUAGCUAGUUGGCGGGGUAACGGCCCACCAAGGCGACGAUGUCUAGCUGGUCUGAGAGGAUGAUCAGCCACACUGGGACUGAGACACGGCCCAGACUCCUACGGGAGGCAGCAGUAGGGAAUAUUGGACAAUGGGCGCAAGCCUGAUCCAGCCAUGCCGCGUGCGGGACGAAGGCCUUCGG